GUUGCGUGGUAGAAACUGCAGAGAAAGCCAAGCACGACUAAGGGCUGAGGAAAAGCAGGUUUGUUAUUGGUUUCCUUCCAAGGAAAGGAGCAAACGUCUUUUAAUUUCAUGGCUGCAGUCACCAUCCACACUGAUUUUGGAGCCCGAGAAAAUAAAAUCUGAACGUGCAUGUUCAGCGAGUUUGACUCUUUGUGAACCCACGGACUGUAGCCCAUCAGGCUCCUCUGCUCACGGGAUUUCCCAGACAAGAAUACUGGAGUGGAUUGCCAUUUCCUUCUCUGGGGGAUCUUCCUGACCCAGGGAUUGAACCCACAUCUCCUGAGUCUCCUGCAUUGGCAGGUGAAUUCUUUACCACUUGAGUCACCUGGGAAGGUGAAGAACAGCACGAGGACAUUUCAAACAAGAGGAACAGUAAGAGCAAAUAAAUGAACUAUGUAAACACCCAGAAGAUCAGAAAAAUGCAGGUAUAAUGUAAGAUGACAAGACUCAAAGACAACUACUUUGAAAGGAGAGUUUAUCACUUACAAUUCCCAAGAGGAAGGGGCAGGCCACACACAGUCCUCUCUCCCCCACUCCACGUGAAGUCAUGUGGGGAAGAACCACGGUCAGCUACGACAUGCAAGGAACAGAGAGGAAGUAGGCUCCAAUUUCAUCCACCUCAUUAGAACUGCUGCUGCUGCUGCUAAGUCGCUUCAGUCGUGUCCAACUCUAUGCGACCCCACAGAUGGCAGCCCACCAGGCUCCGCUGUCCCUGGGAUUCUCCAGGCAAGAACACUGGAGUG
Long non-coding RNA from Bos taurus (domestic cattle), 782 nucleotides. NCBI's taxonomy places the organism in Eukaryota, Metazoa, Chordata, Mammalia, Artiodactyla, Bovidae. The record is from Ensembl.